Molecule: ribosomal RNA, 264 nt
Filed under: Favella ehrenbergii
Lineage: Eukaryota; Ciliophora; Spirotrichea; Tintinnida; Xystonellidae
Description: partial Bacterial small subunit ribosomal RNA
Rfam family: Bacterial small subunit ribosomal RNA
Source: RNAcentral
AAAUUGAUUGUUUAAGUAAAAACUCUAACAAAUCACGUGCCAGAUGUUUCGGUAAUACGUGGGGAGUAAACGUUAGCCAAAAAUACUUGGCGUAAAUCGCUGAAAGGGUGCAAUUAAAUACUAAAAAAAACGCAAAUAAUAACUUUGCUAUAUUUUUUAUCAAAUAAAUUGCUUUGAGUUCUUGUUAAGAAAAUAGAAUAAGCUAAGUAGAGAUAAAAUUCUUUUAUAUAGUUUGGAAUAUCGAUUGCAAAGGCAAUUUUCUAA